Molecule: ribosomal RNA, 253 nt
Filed under: uncultured bacterium
Lineage: Bacteria
Description: partial 16S ribosomal RNA
Rfam family: Bacterial small subunit ribosomal RNA
Source: RNAcentral
UACGAAGGGGGCUAGCGUUGCUCGGAAUCACUGGGCGUAAAGGGUGCGUAGGCGGGUCUUUAAGUCAGGGGUGAAAUCCUGGAGCUCAACUCCAGAACUGCCUUUGAUACUGGCGAUCUUGAGUCCGGGAGAGGUGAGUGGAACUCCGAGUGUAGAGGUGAAAUUCGUAGAUAUUCGGAAGAACACCAGUGGCGAAGGCGGCUCACUGGCCCGGUACUGACGCUGAGGUGCGAAAGCGUGGGGAGCAAACAGG